UACGGAAGGCAGCAGUGGGGAAUAUUGCACAAUGGGCGAAAGCCUGAUGCAGCUAUGCCGCGUGUAUGAAGAAGGCCUUAGGGUUGUAAAGUACUUUCAUCGGGGAGGAAAAAACAAAACUAAUAAUUUUAUUUCUUGACGUUACCCGAAAAAGAAGCACCGGCUAACUCCGUGCCAGCAGCCGCGGUAAUACGGAGGGUGCUAGCGUUAAUCAGAAUUACUGGGCGUAAAAAGCACGUAGGUGGUUUUUUUAAGUCAGAUGUGAAAUCCCUGGGCUUAACCUAGGAACUGCAUUUUGAAACUGAAAUACUAGAGUAUCGUAGAGGGAGGUAGAAUUCUAGGUGUAGCGGUGAAAUGCGUAGAUAUCUGGAGGAAUACCUGUGGCGAAAGCGGCCUCCUAAACGAAUACUGACACUGAGGUGCGAAAGCGUGGGGAGCAAACAGGGAUUAGAUACC
This 456-nucleotide ribosomal RNA is filed under the name uncultured bacterium. RNAcentral's name for it is "bacterial SSU rRNA". It matches the Rfam family "Bacterial small subunit ribosomal RNA", at positions 340 to 786 of the family's 1533-position model. The record is from RNAcentral.